Molecule: transfer RNA, 74 nt
Filed under: Bazzania subtilis
Lineage: Eukaryota; Viridiplantae; Streptophyta; Jungermanniopsida; Jungermanniales; Lepidoziaceae
Also listed under: 2 other names
Description: partial tRNA-Leu
Rfam family: tRNA
About the family: Transfer RNA (tRNA) molecules are approximately 80 nucleotides in length. Their secondary structure includes four short double-helical elements and three loops (D, anti-codon, and T loops).
Source: RNAcentral
GAAAUCGGUAGACGCUACGGACUUAAAAUCCGUUGGCUUUUUAGACCGUGAGGGUUCAAGUCCCUCUACCCUCA